GACGAACGCUGGCGGCGUGCCUAACACAUGCAAGUCAACUUGACUGAAGGAGCAAUCUGACAGUAGAGUGGCGCAAGGGUGCGUAACGCGUAAGUAACUUGCCCAAGGUAAGGAAUAACGUCGAGAAAUCGGCGCUAAUACCUCAUAAUGCAGCGGAUCCGCAUGGAUAUGUUGUUAAAGGUUUACCGCCUUGGGAUAGGCUUGCGUCUGAUUAGCUAGUUGGUGUGGUAACGGCACACCAAGGCUACGAUCAGUAACUGGUCUGAGAGGAUGAUCAGUCACACUGGAACUGAGACACGGUCCAGACUCCUACGGGAGGCAGCAGUGAGGAAUAUUGGGCAAUGCUCGAAAGAGUGACCCAGCAACGCCGCGUGGAGGAUGAAGGUAUUCUAUAUCGUAAACUCCUGUGAGAGCAGACGAAAGACAGAUUAUAAUCUGGAUGACUGUAUGCUCAGAGGAAGCCCCGGCUAACUAC
RNAcentral lists this ribosomal RNA (475 nucleotides) under uncultured bacterium. Its description in RNAcentral is "bacterial SSU rRNA". It matches the Rfam family "Bacterial small subunit ribosomal RNA", at positions 28 to 504 of the family's 1533-position model. The record is from RNAcentral.